ACGGAAGGCAGCAGCUAAGAAUAUUCCGCAAUGGACGAAAGUCUGACGGAGCGACGCCGCGUGGAUGAUGAAGGUCGAAAGAUUGUAAAAUCCUUUUGGAAGUGAGGAAUAAGCAUUGCAGGGAAUGGCAGUGUGGUGACUGUAGCUUCUGAAUAAGCAACGGCUAAUUACGUGCCAGCAGCCGCGGUAACACGUAAGUUGCGAGCGUUGUUCGGAAUUAUUGGGCGUAAAGGGCAUGUAGGCGGUUUUGCAAGCUUGGUGUGAAAUUCCGGAGCUCAACUCCGGAACUGCGUUGAGAACUGCAUAACUAGAGUCACUGAGGGGCAAUCAGAAUUCCUGGUGUAGGGGUGAAAUCUGUAGAUAUCAGGAAGAAUACCAAUGGCGAAGGCAGGUUACCAGCAGAUGACUGACGCUGAGGUGCGAAGGUGCGGGGAGCAAACAGGAUUAGAUACCCUGGUA
Molecule: ribosomal RNA, 459 nt
Filed under: uncultured Treponema sp.
Lineage: Bacteria; Pseudomonadati; Spirochaetota; Spirochaetia; Treponematales; Treponemataceae
Description: partial 16S ribosomal RNA
Rfam family: Bacterial small subunit ribosomal RNA
Source: RNAcentral